This 274-nucleotide ribosomal RNA is filed under the name uncultured bacterium. Its description in RNAcentral is "partial 16S ribosomal RNA". It matches the Rfam family "Bacterial small subunit ribosomal RNA", at positions 523 to 796 of the family's 1533-position model. The record is from RNAcentral.
AUACGGAGGAUCCAAGCGUUAUCCGGAUUUAUUGGGUUUAAAGGGUGCGUAGGCGGCAUUAUAAGUCAGAGGUGAAAGGCCACCGCUUAACGGUGGGACUGCCUUUGAUACUGUAGAGCUUGAAUAAGGUUGAGGUUAGCGGAAUGAGUCAUGUAGCGGUGAAAUGCAUAGAUAUGACUUAGAACACCAAUUGCGAAGGCAGCUGGCUAGACCUUUAUUGACGCUGAGGCACGAAAGCGUGGGGAGCGAACAGGAGUAGAAACCCCAGUAGUCC